Molecule: ribosomal RNA, 301 nt
Filed under: uncultured bacterium
Lineage: Bacteria
Description: partial 16S ribosomal RNA
Rfam family: Bacterial small subunit ribosomal RNA
Source: RNAcentral
CAGUCGCCACGGGAAUACGUAGGGGGCAAGCGUUAUCCGGAAUUACUGGGUGUAAAGGGAGCGUAGACGGUUAAACAAGUCUGAAGUGAAAUGCCGGGGCUCAACCCCGGAGCUGCUUUGGGAACUGUAGAACUGGAGUGUCGGAGGGGUAAGCGGAAUUCCCAGUGUAGCGGUGAAAUGCGUAGAUAUUGGGAGGAACACCGGCGGCGAAGGCGGCUUACUGGACGACAACUGACGUUGAGGCUCGAAGGCGUGGGUAGCAAACAGGAUUAGAUACCCGCGUAGUCCCUGUCUCUUAUAC